Molecule: transfer RNA, 69 nt
Filed under: Marmota marmota marmota (Alpine marmot)
Lineage: Eukaryota; Metazoa; Chordata; Mammalia; Rodentia; Sciuridae
Also listed under: 3 other names
Rfam family: tRNA
About the family: Transfer RNA (tRNA) molecules are approximately 80 nucleotides in length. Their secondary structure includes four short double-helical elements and three loops (D, anti-codon, and T loops).
Source: Rfam by way of RNAcentral
GGGGUUGUGGCUCAGUGGUAGAGUGCUUGCCUAGCAUGUGUGAGGCCCUGGGUUCGAUUCUCAGCACCA